UGGGCUGUAGCUCAAGGGCAGAGCGCUGGAUUGUGGCUCCAGAUAUGCGGGUUCGAGUCCCGUCGGUCCACCCA
This 74-nucleotide transfer RNA is filed under the name Planctomycetota bacterium. RNAcentral describes it as "Planctomycetes bacterium (activated sludge metagenome) tRNA-His". It matches the Rfam family "tRNA". From Rfam's summary of the family: Transfer RNA (tRNA) molecules are approximately 80 nucleotides in length. Their secondary structure includes four short double-helical elements and three loops (D, anti-codon, and T loops). Lineage: Bacteria; Pseudomonadati; Planctomycetota. The record is from RNAcentral.